This 588-nucleotide ribosomal RNA is filed under the name uncultured bacterium. RNAcentral's name for it is "bacterial SSU rRNA". It matches the Rfam family "Bacterial small subunit ribosomal RNA", at positions 338 to 916 of the family's 1533-position model. The record is from RNAcentral.
CCUACGGGAGGCAGCAGUGGGGAAUAUUGCGCAAUGGGGGAAACCCUGACGCAGCAACGCCGCGUGAGUGAGGAAGGACUUCGGUCUGUAAAGCUCUGUUAAUGUGGAAAAAUGGUUAGUGGUCUAAUAGGCCAUUGAUUUGAUGGUACACAUAGAGGAAGCACCGGCUAACUUCGUGCCAGCAGCCGCGGUAAUACGAAGGGUGCAAGCGUUGUUCGGAUUUAUUGGGCGUAAAGCGCGCGUAGGCGGACCUGCAAGUCAGAUGUGAAAUCUCGGGGCUCAACCUCGAAACUGCGUCUGAAACUACAGGUCUAGAAUCUUGGAGGGGGAAGGGGAAUUUCUCAUGUAGGGGUAAAAUCCGUAGAUAUGAGAAGGAACACCAGAGGCGAAGGCGCCUUCCUGGACAAGUAUUGACGCUGAGGCGCGAAAGCGUGGGGAUCAAACAGGAUUAGAUACCCUGGUGGUCCACGCUGUAAACGAUGAAUACUAGAUAUUGCAGGAUUUGACCCCUGCAGUGUCGUAGCUAACGCGUUAAGUAUUCCGCCUGGGAAGUACGGUCGCAAGACUAAAACUCAAAGGAAUUGACGG